UACGUAGGGGGCAAGCGUUGUCCGGAAUCAUUGGGCGUAAAGCGCGUGUAGGCGGCUCGAUAAGUCUGCUGUGAAAGUCCAAGGCUCAACCUUGGGAUGCCGGUGGAUACUGUCGAGCUCGAGUCCGGAAGAGGAGUGUGGAAUUCCUGGUGUAGCGGUGAAAUGCGCAGAUAUCAGGAGGAACACCAAUGGCGAAGGCAGCACUCUGGGACGGGACUGACGCUGAGACGCGAAAGCGUGGGGAGCAAACAGG
RNAcentral lists this ribosomal RNA (253 nucleotides) under uncultured bacterium. RNAcentral describes it as "partial 16S ribosomal RNA". It matches the Rfam family "Bacterial small subunit ribosomal RNA", at positions 524 to 776 of the family's 1533-position model. The record is from RNAcentral.